This 775-nucleotide ribosomal RNA is filed under the name uncultured Neocallimastigales. RNAcentral describes it as "partial large subunit ribosomal RNA". It matches the Rfam family "Eukaryotic large subunit ribosomal RNA", at positions 20 to 644 of the family's 3401-position model. The record is from RNAcentral. Lineage: Eukaryota; Fungi; Neocallimastigomycota; Neocallimastigomycetes; Neocallimastigales.
UACUAGAGUAGCACUCGCAUAUCAAUAAGCGGAGGAAAAGAAACUAACAAGGAUUCCCCUAGUAACGGCGAGUGAAGCGGGAAGAGCUCAAAUUUGAAAUCUUAAAGGGUUUCCCUUUACGAAUUGUAGUUUAAAGAAGUGUUUUCUGUUGAGGUUUUGGUAAAAGUUCUUUGGAAUAGGACAUCAUAGAGGGUGAGAAUCCCGUAUUUGACCUUUACUUUCAACUUUGUGAUACACUUUCAAAGAGUCGGAUUGUUUGGGAAUGCAUGUCCAAAAUGGGUGGUAAAUUUCAUCUAAAGCUAAAUAUUGGCGAGAGACCGAUAGCGAACAAGUACCGUGAGGGAAAGAUGAAAAGAACUUUGAAAAGAGAGUUAAACAGUACGUGAAAUUGUCAAAAGGGAAGCGUUUGACACCAGUGUUGUUUUUCUGAAAAUCAAUUAAAGAACUGUUUAUGCUAAGCUGUUUAGACUUUAUCAGCUAUCUGUUUAGUUUUGAGCUUUUCUUUAAUGCACUUUUCAGUUAACAAGUCAACAUCAAUUUCUUUUGCUGUAAAAAAGCUUGAGGAAGGUGGCUUGAGAUUCGUCUUAAGUGUUUAUAGCCUCUUGCCUAUGCAGUCGGAGAGAUUGAGGUCUGCAGCGUAGAUCCUUCGGGGCUAAAUGCAUUUGUGCUAAGUUAUAGCAUUUUAUAGACAACUUGUUGACUAUGAUUUGUCUUGUAGCUUACUCGCUUAUGUUAUUUUACCUACGCUUAGGAUGUUGAACUACUGAGACAUAGA